UUCCUCACCUAUUCAUCAGUUCUGUGCCUGAUCUUGUCUGAUCUCGGAAGCUAAGCAGAGUCGGGCCUAGUUAGUUCUUGGAUGGGAAACUGCCUGGGAAUACUGGGUGCUGUAGGAC
Ribosomal RNA from Fukomys damarensis (Damara mole-rat), 118 nucleotides. Lineage: Eukaryota; Metazoa; Chordata; Mammalia; Rodentia; Bathyergidae. The record is from Ensembl.